This 1016-nucleotide ribosomal RNA is filed under the name uncultured bacterium. RNAcentral describes it as "bacterial SSU rRNA". It matches the Rfam family "Bacterial small subunit ribosomal RNA", at positions 357 to 1376 of the family's 1533-position model. The record is from RNAcentral.
AGGAAUAUUGGUCAAUGGACGAGAGUCUGAACCAGCCAAGUAGCGUGAAGGAUGAAGGUCCUACGGAUUGUAAACUUCUUUUAUAAGGGAAUAAACCCUCCCACGUGUGGGAGCUUGUAUGUACCUUAUGAAUAAGCAUCGGCUAACUCCGUGCCAGCAGCCGCGGUAAUACGGAGGAUGCGAGCGUUAUCCGGAUUUAUUGGGUUUAAAGGGAGCGCAGACGGGUCGUUAAGUCAGCUGUGAAAGUUUGGGGCUCAACCUUAAAAUUGCAGUUGAUACUGGCGUCCUUGAGUGCGGUUGAGGUGUGCGGAAUUCGUGGUGUAGCGGUGAAAUGCUUAGAUAUCACGAAGAACUCCGAUUGCGAAGGCAGCACACUAAGCCGUAACUGACGUUCAUGCUCGAAAGUGUGGGUAUCAAACAGGAUUAGAUACCCUGGUAGUCCACACGGUAAACGAUGGAUACUCGCUGUUGGCGAUAUACUGUCAGCGGCUUAGCGAAAGCGUUAAGUAUCCCACCUGGGGAGUACGCCGGCAACGGUGAAACUCAAAGGAAUUGACGGGGGCCCGCACAAGCGGAGGAACAUGUGGUUUAAUUCGAUGAUACGCGAGGAACCUUACCCGGGCUUAAAUUGCAAAGGAAUAAUCUGGAAACAGAUUAGUCUUCGGACCUUUGUGAAGGUGCUGCAUGGUUGUCGUCAGCUCGUGCCGUGAGGUGUCGGCUUAAGUGCCAUAACGAGCGCAACCCUCGCCGCCAGUUACUAACAGUUAAAGCUGAGGACUCUGGCGGGACUGCCAUCGUAAGAUGUGAGGAAGGUGGGGAUGACGUCAAAUCAGCACGGCCCUUACGUCCGGGGCUACACACGUGUUACAAUGGGCGGUACAGAAGGCAGCUACCUGGCGACAGGAUGCCAAUCCCUAAAGCCGCUCUCAGUUCGGACUGGAGUCUGCAACCCGACUCCACGAAGCUGGAUUCGCUAGUAAUCGCGCAUCAGCCACGGCGCGGUGAAUACGUUCCCG